Salmo salar (Atlantic salmon) is the source of this 54-nucleotide non-coding RNA. The record is from Rfam. NCBI's taxonomy places the organism in Eukaryota, Metazoa, Chordata, Actinopteri, Salmoniformes, Salmonidae.
UGCAUUCACUACUGUAAGUCGCUCUGGAUAAGAGCAUCUGCUAAAUGAGUAAUA